CUUGGUCAUUUAGAGGAAGUAAAAGUCGUAACAAGGUAACCGUAGGUGAACCUGCGGUUGGAUCAUUACCAAAACGGACUGUUUCUUCAGUCUCGUAAACCUCUUGUGAACUUGUAUUAUGUAUUUCUGACGGUAGGGCUAGAGUCCGUGUUAAAUCGUUACCAGAUCCGGAGAGGCGACAGUAGUACCUGGGUCCCGGUGACGGCCGUCGGGUGUAUUUAACCGAACCUACGUAUUUUUUUUUGUCUUGCUUUAUUCCGCUCUAACCGGCGUGAGUAAAAUCCAAAUUAAAUACAACUUUUGGCAACGGAUCUCUUGGCUCUCGCAACGAUGAAGAACGCAGCGAAAUGCGAUAAGUAAUGUGAAUUGCAGAAUCUCGUGAAUCAUCGAAUCUCUGAACGCAUCUUGCGCCCGUUAGGGCAUGCCUGUUUGAGUAUCACUUAAAUUCUCACCCCCCUCAUCGAGUAAUCGGUGUUGGCGGUGGAUCAAUGAGGUUCCAUUCAGCUUAAUUGCUUUCGAUUGGUGCCUUUAAAGUCACGUUGACUUGUGCUUCAGGCAGAUAGCUAGUAGAUUGAAUCGUUCAUUCUUCUAGUGUUCCCCACUCUAAGCGAGAACGUCUUUGUGCGUUUAAACUCAAAUUAGGAUCGGGGUCUGUCAUUUGGAGGUUAGAGGCCGCUUGUCCCCAUUCGGACUUUGUGGACUCUGGUCAACACAAAGCUGUGUUCCGGCUUAAGCGUUACCCGCUGGCCGGUUAACCCAACAAACUCUUGGUCUCAAAUCAGGCAGGAUUACCCGCUGAACUUAAGCAUAUCAAUAAGCGGAGGA
This 825-nucleotide ribosomal RNA is filed under the name uncultured Endochytrium. Its description in RNAcentral is "eukaryotic LSU rRNA". The stretch from base 296 to 439 matches the Rfam family "5.8S ribosomal RNA". Lineage: Eukaryota; Fungi; Chytridiomycota; Chytridiomycetes; Cladochytriales; Endochytriaceae. The record is from RNAcentral.